UAUUUUGUGUUGGUAUUGGGGGAGGGGAUCAAAGUUUUGAGACGACUGACUUUCAACUAGUUCUUUUCCAUCGAGACGCUGGCCGAGAAGGUUACUUUAGUUAUUUCUGGGUACUUUCUUUCCCGACAUUGUUCUUCAUAAAAAAGGUUGGUGGAGAUGUUUCUCAAUGUGCCCAAGUCAGCAAGAUGCCUGUAAUUGUAUCAUAUUGUGAGAUGAAAAUGGGAAGAAAAUGGAAAUCUGAAAUGAUUCCUUUGUAGAUUUGGUGUUGAAGCUGUUAAUGGUGGUGAUUUCUGGUGUGCAGUGGUGUGGAAGUCAUUUUCUGAUUGAGAAAUGCACUGAUGUGAAGUUUCUGCAGACUUGCUGUUCAACUUCAGACUUCGAAAAACAAUGUUGGUGUUGAUGCAGUGUUGAGCUGUCUGAAAAAUAGUUCGUGUUGCCAGAUGACUUUCUGGUAUUUUGUUGGUGUGUUCUUCUGCUUCCUGUACACAUGUUGAGUUCAAUCGGACGCCGCCGUUUCAAACUUGAUCCACUGGUGAAGCUAAGGAGAAGUUGCUGUUAUCCAAGACUGAGAUUAUUCAGAUUUAGACAAAUUAAAAAUGCAAAUCUAUUGUCCUUUUUCCCUAAGUAAACAAAAUGACCUUAGUUGUGUGAAAACCAGGAAUGUUAUCAUGGAAUGGGGAAUUGUAAUGAAAUUAUAUAUUAUCUAUGAAAAAAGUUAAACCACAAACUGAAAUGUUCCAACACUUUCUGCUUUUAAUCAAUAACAUGAACUCAUUAAAAAAAUAAACCAUUGAAAUCAAAA
This 802-nucleotide long non-coding RNA is filed under the name Daphnia pulex (common water flea). RNAcentral's name for it is "uncharacterized LOC124207166". The record is from RNAcentral. Lineage: Eukaryota; Metazoa; Arthropoda; Branchiopoda; Diplostraca; Daphniidae.